RNAcentral lists this long non-coding RNA (469 nucleotides) under Elaeis guineensis (African oil palm). RNAcentral describes it as "long non-coding RNA (EGUI_LNC045558)". Lineage: Eukaryota; Viridiplantae; Streptophyta; Magnoliopsida; Arecales; Arecaceae. The record is from RNAcentral.
CCUUCAGUGCAUGGUGGACCAGCCGCUCGAUCCAUAAAAUCAAGAGCACAAUCCACAAGCACAGUUACACAGUCUUUGUCACGGCUCAUGGCAGCUAAAUAUUUUUUGCACGAUCGGAUGGUUGAAAUCGCACCAAAUACACGAUCGGACGGCUAAAAAGAAGCUUUACCAUAUCAAUCGGUGAUGGUCCAUAACAGCUGUGCGAUCCAAUGAUUAAGAGCGAUCCUGAGCGAGAUUCGAUGGUUUGUGUUCGUUGUCGGCUGAGAACUAAAUUGGAAGAGACUUCUUGGUGCCAUCCAAUGGUCCAAAACCAAUCUGAAGCCCGAUUCGAGGCUGACAGCGAUCUCGACUAUGAAUAGGAGAUCAAGGGCACAAUCCAAUGAUCCAGAAUCGAUCCGGUGAUUGAUCUAAUGGCCAACAUUGAUCCCGAUCGAGAUGAGGAGUUUAAUGGUGAUUUUUGAUGCGAUCU